UACGUAGGGUGCAAGCGUUGUCCGGAAUUAUUGGGCGUAAAGAGCUCGUAGGCGGUUUGUCGCGUCGAAUGUGAAAACCCGGGGCUCAACUCCGGGCCUGCAUUCGAUACGGGCAGACUAGAGUUCGGUAGGGGAGACUGGGAAUUCCUGGUGGUAGCGGUGAAAUGCGCAGGAUAUCAGGAGGAACACCAAUGGCGAAGGCAGCUCGCUGGGACGGUACUGACGCUGAGGCGCGAAAGCGUGGGGAGCAAACAGG
RNAcentral lists this ribosomal RNA (256 nucleotides) under uncultured bacterium. RNAcentral's name for it is "partial 16S ribosomal RNA". It matches the Rfam family "Bacterial small subunit ribosomal RNA", at positions 524 to 776 of the family's 1533-position model. The record is from RNAcentral.